Molecule: ribosomal RNA, 266 nt
Filed under: uncultured bacterium
Lineage: Bacteria
Description: partial 16S ribosomal RNA
Rfam family: Bacterial small subunit ribosomal RNA
Source: RNAcentral
GCAAGUCGAACGAGAAAGUUUCCUUCGGGAAGCGAGUAGAGUGGCGAACGGGUGAGUAACGCGUGGAUAAUCUACCUUCAAAUUUGGGAUAACAUUGCGAAAGCGGUGCUAAUACCGGAUAAUGUCUGUUUAACCUCGGUUAGAAAGAUCAAAGAUGGCCUCUCCUUGGAAGCUAUUGUUUGGAGAUGAGUCCGCGUAUCAUUAGCUUGUUGGUGGGGUAACGGCCUACCAAGGCGACGAUCCGUAGCUGGUCUGAGAGGACGAUC